CGGCGGACGGGUGAGUAACGCGUGGGUAACCUGCCUCAUACAGGGGGAUAACAGUUAGAAAUGACUGCUAAUACCGCAUAAGCGCACAGGGCUGCAUGGCCCGGUGUGAAAAACUCCGGUGGUAUGAGAUGGACCCGCGUCUGAUUAGCUGGUUGGAGGGGUAACGGCCCACCAAGGCGACGAUCAGUAGCCGACCUGAGAGGGUGACCGGCCACAUUGGGACUGAGACACGGCCCAA
RNAcentral lists this ribosomal RNA (238 nucleotides) under uncultured bacterium. RNAcentral describes it as "partial 16S ribosomal RNA". It matches the Rfam family "Bacterial small subunit ribosomal RNA", at positions 96 to 334 of the family's 1533-position model. The record is from RNAcentral.